AAUUUGGAGCAACUGUAUUAAGAUGUUAUUGAUAUCUUGGACAUCAAGUUUCAUUUAUUUAUGUAUUAUGCAAGCAUAUCUAUUGGUGGAAAUGUAGAAUGGCAGCUGUUAUAACAAUUUGGAUGAAUUAUUAGAAGCACCAAAGAAGUUUUGACAUUUUAAUAACUGGGAAAAGGCUCACAAAUGACCAAUUUAUUCUACAUUAGAUACAGGACAUUAAAUUGACUUCAACAACGCACAUAUCUCUCAAAAAUGAUAUCUGUUCGAGUGAUGUACUGGGCGUUAACAGUUGCUGUUACAAAUUUGCAAAUGAGUUAGAACCGUACAUAAGUUUGAUGAAUGCCAGAGGAAUUUUUUGAAUGGAAUGAUACUGAAAAUCUUACACACAAAUGACAAUUUCAAGAUACAAUCAAUAGAACUCAGAUUGAUUGGCCUUCAUUACCAUUGCGCUAUGAAAAUGUCAGCAAUACAAAUUGGUAUUAAUGGACGUUUUGACAGCUGUUUCCAGUCCAAGUUCCAGUUAAUGGAAAAUCUUUAAUGGACACAGAAAAAUGCCAUUUACUGGAUUGACUUCAACACCUGUUGCCUUUUAAUAAUGUGAGCUGAACAAAUUGAUGGUAAUGGACAUUUUGACAGCUGCUGUCACAACUCAACGUACAAGUUGCAGCUUUGAAGGAACAUUUUUGAUUGGAUACAGAAAAAUGUCAGUCGUUUCAGGAUGUAAAGUUAAUAGAACCAGGGUUGGGCUCGACAUCUGUUGCCAUUUA
Molecule: long non-coding RNA, 767 nt
Organism: Sitophilus oryzae (rice weevil)
Lineage: Eukaryota; Metazoa; Arthropoda; Insecta; Coleoptera; Curculionidae
Exons: 5
Source: RefSeq, a predicted model, not a curated record